AGUGAACGCUGGCGGUAGGCCUAACACAUGCAAGUCGAACGGCAGCACAGGAGAGCUUGCUCUCUGGGUGGCGAGUGGCGGACGGGUGAGGAAUACAUCGGAAUCUACUUUUUCGUGGGGGAUAACGUAGGGAAACUUACGCUAAUACCGCAUACGACCUACGGGUGAAAGCAGGGGAUCUUCGGACCUUGCGCGAUUGAAUGAGCCGAUGUCGGAUUAGCCAGUUGGCGGGGUAAAGGCCCACCAAGGCGACGAUCCGUAGCUGGUCUGAGAGGAUGAUCAGCCACACUGGAACUGAGACACGGUCCAGACUCCUACGGGAGGCAGCAGUGGGGAAUAUUGGACAAUGGGCGCAAGCCUGAUCCAGCCAUACCGCGUGGGUGAAGAAGGCCUUCGGGUUGUAAAGCCCUUUUGUUGGGAAAGAAAUCCAGCUGGUUAAUACCCGGUUGGGAUGACGGUACCCAAAGAAUAAGCACCGGCUAGCUUCGUGCCAGCAGCCGCCGCCG
This 506-nucleotide ribosomal RNA is filed under the name uncultured bacterium. RNAcentral describes it as "partial 16S ribosomal RNA". It matches the Rfam family "Bacterial small subunit ribosomal RNA", at positions 29 to 523 of the family's 1533-position model. The record is from RNAcentral.